GAUGAACGCUGGCGGCGUGCUUAACACAUGCAAGUCGAACGGAAAGGCCCAAGCUUGCUUGGGUACUCGAGUGGCGAACGGGUGAGUAACACGUGGGUGAUCUGCCCUGCACUUCGGGAUAAGCCUGGGAAACUGGGUCUAAUACCGGAUAGGACCACAUUUUGGAUGGUGUGGUGGAAAGCUUUUCGGUGUGGGAUGAGCUCGCGGCCUAUCAGCUUGUUGGUGGGGUAAUGGCCUACCAAGGCGUCGACGGGUAGCCGGCCUGAGAGGGUGUACGGCCACAUUGGGACUGAGAUACGGCCCAGACUCCUACGGGAGGCAGCAGUGGGGAAUAUUGCACAAUGGGCGCAAGCCUGAUGCAGCGACGCCGCGUGGGGGAUGACGGCCUUCGGGUUGUAAACUCCUUUCGCUAGGGACGAAGCGUUAUGUGACGGUACCUGGAGAAGAAGCACCGGCUAACUACGUG
This 466-nucleotide ribosomal RNA is filed under the name uncultured bacterium. RNAcentral describes it as "partial 16S ribosomal RNA". It matches the Rfam family "Bacterial small subunit ribosomal RNA", at positions 28 to 507 of the family's 1533-position model. The record is from RNAcentral.